Trachymyrmex septentrionalis is the source of this 610-nucleotide long non-coding RNA. RefSeq lists it as uncharacterized. The record is from RefSeq and is a predicted model, not a curated record. The transcript is spliced from 4 exons. NCBI's taxonomy places the organism in Eukaryota, Metazoa, Arthropoda, Insecta, Hymenoptera, Formicidae.
UACGUCCUGUCAUUUUAACGUUGAAACAGUUCGCACUCCUAUCUUCGAAUCGAUUGACUUCAGAUUCUAAUCUGCUAAUUAUAACUACGUUGGAAAAGUUCACCCUAUCAGCCCUGUCUUCGAAUCGAUUGUGAUUUUUUCUUCAUAUUCUAAUACUCUGCUGAAAAAUGGGAAGGAAUCUCUUGGAAUAUAAAACGAGAAUCGGCACGAAAGGAUCGUUCGUCGUUGGAUUUCUUUACUACGAAUGCGACGAAUACGAGAUGGUUGGCUCAAAAUGAGUGCUGUUGCGAUUUAUUAAAUUGCUGAUAGAUGCUGUUACAAACCAAACAAUGGGAAGAGAAGAGGUGAAAAGCAGGCUUGACAAUUUUGUGAAGAGAAAGAAGAGGAGGAGAAGGAAGAAGAAGAAGCUCAAGAAAAACAAUGGAUGAAUUUUACGAAUCAUGCAGCACAUAGCUGAUAACUCCACUGCUGUGCAUCAAUCGGUCUUUCUUCUUCUUUUAUUGGUACGCGCAGUCACGGGCCACGAUCAAGCCAUUAGCCAGUUAGUGAAGAUGCAGUAAAAUAUAAUGGAGACUUCGCACGGCUCUGUACUACUGAGAGGUUGGGGCAU